RNAcentral lists this long non-coding RNA (1472 nucleotides) under Microcebus murinus (gray mouse lemur). RNAcentral's name for it is "lncRNA (ENSMICG00000048291.1)". Lineage: Eukaryota; Metazoa; Chordata; Mammalia; Primates; Cheirogaleidae. The record is from RNAcentral.
CCCGCAGCCCGCGGCCUCCAGGCGGGACGUCGACCGGGCCGCGGGGCGCAGAGCGAGCCAGGUGGCAGCUUGGUCCCCAGGGCCCUUCAAGGCCAGAGAGAGGAAGUCCAGCUCCCUCGCCAGCGAGGACGCCGACGCGGAGGCGGGCGGCUGGCGGAGGAGAGUGCGGAGGAGCACCUACGUCGGGCGCGAGGCCGAGGGCUGGGCUGGCAAAGCGCGGGAAACGGCCGGGUCCGUGUCCAGAGGAGAGCGCGAGAGCCACCGGCAGAGCGUGGCGCCCGACGGGACCCUGCUGCCCCCGCGCGCGAUGCCCAAGUCCAUCGAGGAGAUCAUCGCCUCGCUGCAGUCCGAGGCCCAGCUGGCCUCCGACCAGAUCAUCAAAGAGCUCAUAGAGAGCGUCCUCGGCCAGAACUACGACAUUAAAGUGGAAGAUAUUUCUUUACUGGGACAAAUGCACGUCAGAUCAGCUGAGAUACAAGCAGAAACACCUCAGAUACAAGUAGAACAAGGAUUACCGAUAAGUGUUGAGGAGCCUCAAGUGAAUAUGCUUAAGGAGCUUCCUGAAGCCACGUCAAGUGUGUUCCAGAUUGAACAAGAGGAUAUAGAAUGGGAAGCCUCAGAAGCAGAAGGCAUAGUAUUGAAACCUCAGGAAAUUUUGGAAGUUCAGCCAGCAGUGGAAUUAAGUAAACCUUUGGAAGAUGGACAGCCCAAAAGUGAUGCAAAAGCUGCCAAGCACGUGACUUUAAAGGUGAAAUCAUUAGAAUUCUUGGAAAUAAAAGGAAAAGAAGUUAAGCGAAUACGAAAAGCUGUAUCAGGGAUUUCACCACCGAGACCAAGAAAGUGUUUAAAACCCCCUUGGGAUCCAAAACUAAAUAAUAAAAUUCCAUACAACUACUCCACUCCUAACCUUCAUGAUCUGUGCACCACUAUCCCAUCCCGGGAAUUGCCCAUUGACUUGCGCCUGGCUUCUCGAGUGUAUCACACUGCUGAUAAGAAAGGCCACGAUACCCUACUUGGAGUAUUUGGAACAUCUUUCAUAAAUGAUCGCUUUUCAGAUGAAGAGCAAAAGGAUAGAAUACUGCAUGGAAUUCCUGUUGUGGCUAACAAGCAAGAAUAUGUUCAUGUUCCUCCAAUACUACCAGGAAUACCACCUGAAUUGGUACAAAGAACUGGAAAGCAUGCUCGCAGACCACCACACUUGCAAGUUUGGGGAGAGGAAAUGUAUGCUUAUCCAGGAUGUACGAAGUUGUUUUGGAAUACAACUGCUCCUAAAUUCUCUCUUCCAGAAACUGUCAUGAAGGAAACCGUAUAUCCAAAAUAUGAGGUAACAUACUGAAUGAGUUUUCUCUAUUAUUGUUAUUAUCAUUUAAUAAUUAAAUUGUAUAAUUGAUUAUGAAAUUCAAUUUUACUGGACAGCUGUUAUGAAGAUUGUCAGGCAACUAUUUCAAUAAUCAGGAUUGAUUGGAUGGCAC